UGCGAGCCUGCCCCACAGGGUCACACAAGC
This 30-nucleotide non-coding RNA is filed under the name Rattus norvegicus (Norway rat). Lineage: Eukaryota; Metazoa; Chordata; Mammalia; Rodentia; Muridae. The record is from RNAcentral.